GACGAACGCUGGCGGCGUGCUUAACACAUGCAAGUCGAACGGAGAGGCCCAGCUUGCUGGGUACUCGAGUGGCGAACGGGUGAGUAACACGUGGGUGAUCUGCCCUGCACUCUGGGAUAAGCCUGGGAAACUGGGUCUAAUACCGGAUAUGACCGACUGUCGCAUGGUGGUUGGUGGAAAGCUUUUGCGGUGUGGGAUGGGCCCGCGGCCUAUCAGCUUGUUGGUGGGGUAAUGGCCUACCAAGGCGACGACGGGUAGCCGACCUGAGAGGGUGAUCGGCCACACUGGGACUGAGACACGGCCCAGACUCCUACGGGAGGCAGCAGUGGGGAAUAUUGCACAAUGGGCGCAAGCCUGAUGCAGCGACGCCGCGUGAGGGAUGACGGCCUUCGGGUUGUAAACCUCUUUCACCAGGGACGAAGCGUGAGUGACGGUACCUGGAGAAGAAGCACCGGCCAACUACGUG
This 466-nucleotide ribosomal RNA is filed under the name uncultured bacterium. Its description in RNAcentral is "partial 16S ribosomal RNA". It matches the Rfam family "Bacterial small subunit ribosomal RNA", at positions 28 to 507 of the family's 1533-position model. The record is from RNAcentral.